UGUAGUGCGUACACACAAGAUGUCAUCGGACGAUGCUUCAGCCGUACUUGGCCUACUAUUAAUUUUAAAAAAGAAUAAUAAAACCCAAAAUAAACGUUAAGAGUGGUUGAAAAAGAGAAAUGUUUAUUUCCAUGUACAAUUAUUAAAUGAACUAAAAGUUUUUCCUAAGCAUUGACACAAGUAUCUCAGAAGAAACAUAUUUCAUGAUUUCAUAUGAACUAGUCAACCUUUCUUUUUGGGCAAUUUUCGAUUUUUCACGAAUUCACGGAUAUAUAGGAAUGCAAAAUACGGAUAUACGGGUACGAAUGCAUAGACAACUGCGAUACGACUGACGGUUAUUACCUACACACGUUCAGUUUAAUUACAGUUAAAACUGAUAAUGUGUAACCAUUAAGGGUGUUUACAUCUGAAAAAGUAUUAUUAUUAAUUUACCUAUAUUAUAUAAUAAUUUAAUGACUAUUUUUGUGGUACCUAUUAUAAGUUAUCCCAAUCUUUUUUGUUCCUGAUUUGAUAAACUCAGAAUUGUCCGUUCUUGUGUACAAGGAUAUCUAAAUUAUUUGUCACCAUAAAUUUAAAUCCUUUGUAAUUUGCUAUUUUUUUCGAUUUACCAAAUAAUACUCUUUUAUAUUUUGUUAAGUAGCCAUUGUAUGUCAUUAUAUGUUUAUAUAAUUAAUGUAAAAACAUUAAUUAUAAUUUAAAUGGUUAUAUAUAAUAAUUGUUGAAAAAAAAAUUAUAUUGUUUUGUUAUAGGUGGAGUAAAAAUUAAGUUUAUAGAAAGGAACAGAUAAACAUUUAGAAAAUGUUGAUGAUACUUGGCUGGC
Cinara cedri is the source of this 820-nucleotide non-coding RNA. NCBI's taxonomy places the organism in Eukaryota, Metazoa, Arthropoda, Insecta, Hemiptera, Aphididae. The record is from the annotation of a GenBank genome assembly.